RNAcentral lists this ribosomal RNA (118 nucleotides) under Crocodylus porosus (Australian saltwater crocodile). Lineage: Eukaryota; Metazoa; Chordata; Crocodylia; Crocodylidae. The record is from RNAcentral.
UCUUGCAGCCCCUCACUUCAGCCUGUGAUCUCAUCAGAUUUCACAAGCUAAGCAGGGUUAGGUCUCGGUAGCGCUUGGAAGGGAUACCUCAAAAAGACCAAAACCCUCCCCGCAAAAA